This 202-nucleotide long non-coding RNA is filed under the name Elaeis guineensis (African oil palm). Its description in RNAcentral is "long non-coding RNA (EGUI_LNC020502)". Lineage: Eukaryota; Viridiplantae; Streptophyta; Magnoliopsida; Arecales; Arecaceae. The record is from RNAcentral.
GAUUAAUUGAUUUCUGAAGGUGGUUGCUUCAUGAGAUCUGGAUGUCUAGACCCUGUACUUCGCUCGCACGCCAAGCAACGUAAGAGAGAGGGAUAAAGAUCUUCUUCAAAAAGGAAGGAGGAGAGAGUUUUGAGAUUUGAUCUCGAUGCCUUAAAGAACUCCACACGCCACCAUGCCAAAGAGAUGGGACGCCCAAGGGGAC